CAAUAGCGUAUAUUAAAGUUGUUGCGGUUAAAAAGCUCGUAGUUGGAUUUCUGUUGAGGAAGUCCGGUCCGCACUUUGUGCGUGAUCUGGUUCUGCCUCGGCAUCCUCGCGGGGAACGCGCUGCGCUUGAUUGCGUGGUGUGGUAUUCGCGACUUUUACUUUGAGGAAAUUAGAGUGUUCACGGCAGGCAUUCGCCUUGAAUACGUUAGCAUGGAAUAAUAAUAUAGGACCUCGGUUCUAUUUUGUUGGUUUUCUAGAGACUAGAGGUAAUAGAGUUAAUAAGGGUAGGUAGUUGGGGUCGAUUCGUAUUUAACUGUCAGGAGGUAGUAAAUUCUUGGUAUUUGUUAAAGACGGAACUACUGCGAAAGCAUUUGCCAAGGAUGUUUUCAUUGAUCAAGAACGAAAGUUAGGGGAUCGAAGAUG
This 423-nucleotide ribosomal RNA is filed under the name uncultured eukaryote. RNAcentral describes it as "bacterial SSU rRNA". It matches the Rfam family "Eukaryotic small subunit ribosomal RNA", at positions 592 to 1006 of the family's 1831-position model. The record is from RNAcentral.